Molecule: long non-coding RNA, 610 nt
Organism: Phragmites australis (common reed)
Lineage: Eukaryota; Viridiplantae; Streptophyta; Magnoliopsida; Poales; Poaceae
Exons: 2
Source: RefSeq, a predicted model, not a curated record
UUUUCUUCUGUGGCUGUGGCUGUGCCUGUGGAUCUCAUAUAAUGCACCGCACUACACGGCCAAACUAAGCGACUUGUCCGAUGAGUGUGCCAAGACAUUUGCCAGCUGCAGUGCCGGACUGCCGGUAACCAAUCAGGAUGCUGCGUUGAAAUGCUUCUAGAAGCAGAGCUAGAUCGACAUGGAUGGAUGGACCUUCUGCACCAGCUCAGACGUGGACGGACGAGUCAAGAUCGAAGCAGCUACUCAAGCGCGGGGCCGCCAAUCCCUGAUCGCUUUGGCGUCGAGGCGGCGGUGUCUUGAUUGCUUGUUCGGAGGGGAGAGCGCAAGCCGUGGCAUCUCCCGUGUGCACGCCUGUGCAUGGCCGGGGGACGUACGGCGCCGUUCCCUCGCCGGCGUUGCCGCCGGCUCGUCAGUCCGAGCAGCUGGCUCUGCUUCCUAUAAGAGCGUGUAUAAUGGUACGUUUAGAGUAGAUGCUUAUAGAAAAAAUGAGAUUUUUUUUUUCAUAAUUGCACUGGCGCAAGUAUGGAUUUUAAUUUUGUUUUAUUUUUUUUCAUUGGUGAAAAGAUUGUAGUUUGGGAAAUAUCUCUAAAAUUUUGGUCAUCUUUUAUUC